ACGGGUGAGUAACACGUGGGUGAUCUGCCCUGCACUCUGGGAUAAGCUUGGGAAACUGGGUCUAAUACCGGAUAUGACCACAGCAUGCAUGUGUUGUGGUGGAAAGAUUUAUCGGUGCAGGAUGGGCCCGCGGCCUAUCAGCUUGUUGGUGGGGUAAUGGCCUACCAAGGCGACGACGGGUAGCCGACCUGAGAGGGUGACCGGCCACACUGGGACUGAGACACGGCCCAGACUCCUACGGGAGGCAGCAGUGGGGAAUAUUGCACAAUGGGCGGAAGCCUGAUGCAGCGACGCCGCGUGAGGGAUGAAGGCCUUCGGGUUGUAAACCUCUUUCAGCAGGGACGAAGCGUGAGUGACGGUACCUGCAGAAGAAGCACCGGCUAACUACGUGCCAGCAGCCGCGGUAAUACGUAGGGUGCGAGCGUUGUCCGGAAUUACUGGGCGUAAAGAGUUCGUAGGCGGUUUGUCGCGUCGUUUGUGAAAACCCGGGGCUCAACUUCGGGCUUGCAGGCGAUACGGGCAGACCUGAGUGUUUCAGGGGAGACUGGAAUUCCUGGUGUAGCGGUGAAAUGCGCAGA
Molecule: ribosomal RNA, 578 nt
Filed under: uncultured bacterium
Lineage: Bacteria
Description: bacterial SSU rRNA
Rfam family: Bacterial small subunit ribosomal RNA
Source: RNAcentral